Non-coding RNA from Pelobates cultripes (western spadefoot toad), 384 nucleotides. Lineage: Eukaryota; Metazoa; Chordata; Amphibia; Anura; Pelobatidae. The record is from the annotation of a GenBank genome assembly.
UGACAAACCAGGCGUGUAAUCCCAAAAAGAAUCCCAAGAUAUAUAGUAGAUCUCCUGGAAAAUGUUAUAUUGUUGGGCGGCGUCUAAGGACAUGCGUUCAUAUGUGUAAUAUAGAUGGCUUUUUUUUUCUUGGAGUUGUAGUAAAAUAGGACAGGUUUUUGUUUCCACUGGGUUGCAAUGAGAUUCUUUGCUGCCAGCACAAAAGUGGCUGAUUUGGGCAUUCGAGGAAGGUAGAGAACAAAUAAGCAGAUGUUUAUAUCAAGCUUAUGUGUAAUAAUGUUCCAUCUAGAAACCAGGGUUUGAGGCAGGUAUUUUUAAAGCUGAGACUGAUGUGUGUGUGUGUGUAUGUAUGUAUGUAUGUAUAUGUAUGUGUGUGUGUGUGUG